Long non-coding RNA from Papaver somniferum (opium poppy), 1280 nucleotides. RefSeq lists it as uncharacterized. The transcript is spliced from 4 exons. NCBI's taxonomy places the organism in Eukaryota, Viridiplantae, Streptophyta, Magnoliopsida, Ranunculales, Papaveraceae. The record is from RefSeq and is a predicted model, not a curated record.
ACGUACCGCAUGUCUGCGACCAUUCCUCCCCUUUUCUCUCGCCAUUAACUCAACGCAAUGAACGUUUCGGAAAAUGAAAUACAUAUGAGAUUUCAAAAUGAUUUCUUCCUUCUAGGUUUUCGGUUUGAUCCACUUCUGCAACCCAAAUCUCAUAGCUUUAUGGUUUGAUUCACUUUUCUUCGAAAGGCACUUCAUUUUUGAUGAACUCAUUUGCUAGGGUUACAGUAAGAAAUUUAUUCCUACCUACCACUUCAGUUCCUAUAAUCUCCGAAUGCCGAAAUUAGGGUUCUUGAUUGAUUUUCUGUAACGAAAGUAAAAAACCCUCAUUCAAUGGCAUUAACAUCCACGUUAUCUCAUUCAUUGUAUGAGAUUAUCUGAAGUAUGCAACUCAUUCAAAAAUCUCUGCAACUGUUUAUCAGAUAAUGAUAUAAUAGACAAACUAUUAAACAAGGAAUUUCACAGAUUGUAUAUGAAGCUCAUAUCAAUUGAAUGGUUUCCUGAUGAAUCUGAUCCUGGAUUUCAACAUGUGCACAGUACUAAGAAAACUGUGUUGAUCACAAGGAUUUGCAGGGAGAAAUUUGAUGAUAAGAAGGAGUGAAGGACAGUAGCGAUAGAGGCCUAGAUGAAGAUAGAAGAAACUCAAAUGUUGAAGAAGAAGAUUCUUCUGUUAUAUCACAAAUUGUUUCAUGUGAAUCGUGAAGAUUAAUCUGCUGAAGAUUUAGAGUAAUUUGGUUCGGAGAAGAAUAAAGAGGGAUGCUUUCUAAUGAUACGAAGGAGCAGAGAUAUGGAUAUGCAUCAAGUUUCUCAUACUAUGCCUUGAGUUAUGAUGACCUGAUGGCACUUGAAGAUAUCAGGUGUUUGGCCUUGGAGAAGGUAGCUGAAUCCUUUGAGCCUCCCUUGCAACUGUUGCUCCCUUGGAUGCCCAGAGAUAGUUUUCUUCUACGGUAAGCUCUAUCAUGAGGCUCUGUGUAACUGCAGUAUUUUUCUUCUACAGAAGUAGAGAAACUUGGUGCUCAUCUAACACCAGUUAAUCGCGGGAUCAAGAGUUUUUCCCCGUCGUUCAUUGUGUACAACCAACAUUUACAUUAGAGACUCGACUAAUAUAGUAGAUUAUUGUCUGUUUCUUUUGAGGUUGUUUAAUUAUCAAUUUCAUUUGGACAUCAUAAUAUCUUGGAUUUUGGUUUUAGGGGUUUGCUAAUUGUUGUAAUUUGCACCAUCUCCGUAUUUGUUUCCUUUAGAUUUUGUCCAGCUCAACAAGUCAGAAUUUAUUUCUUUUUAAA